GAUGAACGCUGGCGGCGUGCCUAAUACAUGCAAGUCGAGCGAACGGACGAGAAGCUUGCUUCUCUGAUGUUAUCGGCGGACGGGUGCGUAACACGUGGAUAACCUACCUAUACGACUGGGAUAACUUCGGGAAACCGGAGCUAAUGCCGGAUGAUAUUUUGAACCGCAUGGUUCAAAAGUGAAAGACGGUCUUGCUGUCACUUAUAGAUGGAUCCGCGCUGCAUUAGCUAGUUGGUAAGGUAACGGCUUACCAAGGCAACGAUGCAUAGCCGACCUGAGAGGGUGAUCGGCCACCUGGUAAGUGAGGCACGGCCCAGACUCCUACGCGAGGCAGCAGUACGGAAUCUUCCGCAAUGCGGCAGAGCCUAACAGAGCACCGCCGCGGGAAUGAUGAAGCUCUUCGGAUCCGAAAACGCUGUUAGUAGGGAAGAACAAAUGUGUAAGUAACUGUGCACAUCUUGACGGUACCUAAUCAGAAAGCCACGGCUAACUACGUG
This 497-nucleotide ribosomal RNA is filed under the name uncultured bacterium. RNAcentral describes it as "partial 16S ribosomal RNA". It matches the Rfam family "Bacterial small subunit ribosomal RNA", at positions 28 to 507 of the family's 1533-position model. The record is from RNAcentral.